Molecule: long non-coding RNA, 4180 nt
Filed under: Nicotiana tabacum (common tobacco)
Lineage: Eukaryota; Viridiplantae; Streptophyta; Magnoliopsida; Solanales; Solanaceae
Description: long non-coding RNA (NTAB_LNC007018)
Source: RNAcentral
AAAGGCCAUACGUAGCCCGACAUUAAAAGCCAUACAUACAAACAAUAUAAAGAAGAUAAAAUAGAAGAGGUGCAAAAUCGGAAUAAAUUUAGUGUACAUCAAAAAGCUAUACGUACAAACAAUUCAUAGAAGCUGCACUAAAAAUGAUUUUACAGUCGAUAAGUUGCAAAAACGCAAACUCCAUAAUAGGCAUGAGUUGUUGGCCUCGCCUCGCAUACAUUUUCCUGCAAAACAUUCAAAACAACACAUAAAUUGUGCAUUUCUAAAUAAUUAAUUUUCAUUAAGAGUUACUACUAUAUUUACUUGCUGUGUUUUGCCAUUCUUUUUUUUUUAUUAUGUGGUCUAUCUUCAUUUAAUGUAUAAAAGUUCAAAAGCUAAUAUAUAUCAUUUCAGUUUUUUUGUCACGUCUCAUCGCAAAUAUAAGUGCCAUUUGCAAUUAACAUACAUGUCCCUUACAUGCUAGGUAAAUAUCUCAAAUUCAACGGAGGGUCUCUUAUUUGGCGAUGGCGAAUUAGACAUCGCCGGUGUUUGUGAAAGUGAAGCUAAAAAGAAUUACUUCGUAGAAAUGAGAAUUACUAAUUACUAUAAGGUUCAACGAACAAGAAAAUAGGGCUAGAAGAAAAUACUUCACAUGAAAGAAAAUCUCUUAACACUGUAAGACCCAACUGAGAAGAAAAUCAAGGCUAGAAAAUACAGCUAGAAGACUACAUGGAACUGAAAAAAUCCUACAGGAAAGGAAGUGUGAAGUAUGCAAGAUUUUUACGGUAGAGGAUAAGACAAGUGAUGAGAUGCAAUUCAUUCUCUCAGUAUAAUUCUCAUGCUUCUUAAAGAUAAAGCCUAGAAAUAACUCAGCAAUCGAGGUGGAUUAGAUAAGUGAUGAGCUGCAGUUGAUUCUCCCGGUUAGGAGUACAAAGGAAACCGACAAACCGUACCAACCUGAUUAUUCGAGUCAAAUCGAGAAAAAAAAUCCGACUAUGGUUUGGUUUGAUUUGGUUUGGUGUUGAAAAAACCCCCCCGAUCAUAAUUGGUUUCGUUUGGUUUUAAGUAAAAAAAAUCUAACCGAAACCAAACCAACCCGACAUUAUAUAUAUAGAAAUUUUAGAUAUAUUUAAUAUAUAAAUAUACUUAUUGUGAUGUAAUUUAUAAAUAAUUCUUACAAAAUUUCAUAAUUUUAUUUUUUAAGGUAUUAUUUUCAGGUUAGAUUUAAAACUUUUGAAUGUUCCAAUAAAUUUUAUAGCCAUUAAUAUUAAGAAAUUAAAUAAUGCUAACAAAAACACAAACCAAAAUCACAUCAAUACUAAUGCUAACAAAAGACAUUCAAUUCAAUACUACGAAACGGAAUGUAUUUAAUAUCUAUUUUUUAUUUUGCAAUAAUUUAGAUAAAAAUGCAUAACCUAUUUUUAUUUAAUCUUUAGCGUUUAGUCAUGUAAUUAAUACUCCCUUAUUAGUCUACUUAUUUUAGCAUGACUUAGUACUUUUAGAUUAUUUUUAUUAUGGCUUUUUAAUUAGCAAUAUUUAUAUUACAUAAUUUUAUUGUCUUUAUUGUUGAAUAUUUUAGGAUAAUGCCAUGACAAAUCUCAUAUUUUGUAUUAUUUUCGUGGAAAAUACUUUAUAUAGUUGUAUCUUAAUAGGAUUAAAGAAAUAUUUGAGCACAAGUUAUAUGUUUUGUUCUACGAAGAUUUUACCGAAAACAAAACCCGAAAAAUCCGAAUAAUCCGAAAACCCGAGAAAAACCGAGAUUGAAAAACCCGAGUUUUAUUGGUUUAGUUUGGUCUUUAGAUUUAAUAAUCCGAUACAAUUGGUUUAGUUUGGUGAUUGUAAAAUCUGAACCAACCCGACCUAUAUACACCCCUAACCCCGGUAUAAUUCUCAUACUUCUUAAAGAUAAACCUUGCAAAAAACUCAACAAUCGAGGUGGACGAAGUUGAGCAUAUAUGAUAUAUGCCUUUUAGAUUUAUAAAAAUAAAUAAUAGCGUAAAAAAGUCAGAUUGCCAUAUAAGCCAAGAAAGUUCGCAAGCAAUCCAUUUAUUUUGUGAUGUGCUAUGGUUGGAACUUAUAUCAUUCAAUCUGAAUCUGAUCAAAUUACAAAAGUCCAAGAAUACAGAGCAAGAAAAGUUGAUGAAACUUAAAAGUGCUAGAGUCCAAGCAAAUCACAUAAUGGAAAUAAAUGAUAAUUAAUCUUCACCAAGUCAUAUCGACUGCAUUAAUCAACCAACAAAGUCUUACUGUAUCAGAAUAUUAUAAGUUAUCAACUGCAAUCAAGAUAAAGACUGCACAACUUUUUUUUCUUUCUAAAUGAACCAAUUAGCUCUUUGCAGAGAAAAUAAUCCUAUUGGCAGGAACUUUACUGGUCCUUCAAUUGUUGCUCUUGAAGUAUUUUCUCCGAUACUACUUCCACAAGCAUCACAAGGUCUACAUUAAAUAGUGCAUCCAAACAAUCAAUAAUAACAAUUAGUGACACAAAAAGUGCAAAAUAGGCAUAGAUGACUUCAAAAUUAGCAUGUUAAGUUUUUCCACCAAGUUUCUACUAUUUGUAUCUGAAUAGCUUCAAGGAAAAGAUGUGCUUUAGUAAAACAUCUGUUGAACUCCAAGUAUAUAUCAUUUUGUCUACAAAUACUAAUGAACAACUUUUAUUCCAAAGUAAAUUUCAAAGGUAGAAUUACCAUAAAACUUUAAUGUUAUAUCCAUCUCUUGAGUAUUUAUAAACUGCAUUCUAUUCUCUUGAUUCGUAUAUCAUAAUAAAUAACUUCUUUUAGAAUUUGAACUCUAAGGUUGCGAGGGAAUAUCUCCUCUAACUUCAAAAAAGCUAAACUCCACAAGAUCUGGGAGAAGUUUAGCAGAUAAUAAUUGAUCUGAUCCAUUGUUAACAAAAGAUAACAAAGAAGUUCAGAAUCUUAAAGUGGCGACUCUACGUGGUAAAUAUAGGCUCGCAAGGAAUGCAGCCAGCCUAAGGCACUGUAUCCAUCAUUUGUGUUUUCUUUGAAGGUUUAUUACUUUAUUUUUGCUGAAUCAAGCACCUUAAUAAUGGUUCCGAUAUUAAUAUUCUCCUAUUCCGCUAUACUCUUUUGGUCAUACAUCUACAAAUUUAAUGAGAGCUUCUAUGGUGUCAUGCCGAGAACUACUUAGAUAUUCUAAUUUAAGUGGUUUGACCAGGUAGAUAUUUGAUUUCUCAUUGGCUCUCCAUUGCUCUUUCUUUUGAUAAAUUCUUGGGAAGGCACUAUUGCAGUGGACGUUAUUCUCUCUGGUUGCUUUUUGUUCGAACAAUCAUGUUUUAAUGUUAUCUUGAUUUGUUUAAAGCUUGUAGAAAAUCCUGCAAUUGAUUACUCUUUGCAUCUUCUAGUAGCUCAAUGAGACUUUUGUUUCCACCUACUCGAGCUUCAUUAAGUGGAUAUUUUUCACCUGCAAAGAUAAGAUGAUCAGGUACUACUUUGAGUUGUCAAAAAAUAAUUGUUUAACAAUUAUCAACCUCUCUUUACCGGCAUUAGGAAAAUAAUCACAUAUGACCAUGCAAGUCCUAAUAAUACAACGAUAAGUAGAAGAAUACUUUACUGCAUAGGCUUCUCAAUUCUGCAACAUAAAAAUAUUUUACAUAUAGAGCUGAAGCUGCAAACUUUAGUAAAGGAUCAUACAGCUCUUAUCAUGCUUGUAAUUCAAGGUGAACUCAUUAUCACCUUGGAUAAACACUCCACAAAAUUUAAUUUGUUACUCUUUAUAAUUUCCUUGUCAUUUAUGUUUCCGCUGACUUCAUAUCUAUGUUGAUGUGUUACCGAACUAAUAAUAACUUUAGAUAUUCUUUUUCACAAUGAUAUAGGAACAAUCUUGUAUUUUCUUCAGUUUAAGUUAUUUAAAACUCUCUAAGCUUGUUUAUUAAAUAAGAGAGCGAGGUUGUUAUCAACUUGACGUUUUUCCCUAUAAAACUCGGGGAAGUUUCUUUACCUUUUCAAUUAAGGUGAAUCAAUUCUAAAUGCCGAUUUUUAACAGCAAACUACAUGAAAGAAAGACUAACACAUUUUAAAUAAACAGCAACGUCACAUCAGGUUCUUGCUACACAUUUGUUUUCACAAAUUAUAUCAAGUUUUUAGCCAUCAUAUUGGAAGAAUAUACUAUUUUUUAAAAGGUAAUAUGCAUUCCUUAGUGUAAAAGUCUUACUCACCGAAGUCGAAAAAUGCUGAGUAGACAC